This 132-nucleotide unclassified non-coding RNA is filed under the name uncultured Mortierellaceae. RNAcentral's name for it is "sequence contains ITS1". Lineage: Eukaryota; Fungi; Mortierellomycota; Mortierellomycetes; Mortierellales; Mortierellaceae. The record is from RNAcentral.
UAAUAAAAGUGUUUAUGGCACUUUUAAAACAAUCCAUAUCCACCUUGUGUGCAAUGUUUUUCUUACAUAUCAACACUUUAUUUUUAUUCUUUUGUCUGAAAUAUUUUACGAAUUUACUUAAUUCAAAAAAUA